Molecule: long non-coding RNA, 384 nt
Organism: Balaenoptera acutorostrata (minke whale)
Lineage: Eukaryota; Metazoa; Chordata; Mammalia; Artiodactyla; Balaenopteridae
Exons: 2
Source: RefSeq, a predicted model, not a curated record
UUAAAUUAGAUAAGCUCUCCAAACCAAUUUAAAAACAUUUGGUGGACUUAAACAGAUGGAAUUUAAAAACACAUGUCAGGAAUUGGACAGGAGAGCUGAGAAAAGAGGCCCAUGUUGCCAGCGUUGCGUUUGAAGGGGUUCCAUAUGAACGGCUGCGUUUGAUGAGCUCACACUGGCGGUUUUACCAACUCCCGUGGACAUCAUCAGGGAUGGCGUGACUUCAGGAUUUUUACUCCGUUUCUGCCCACUGCCUUUCAGACUUCCAGACGCUAGCUUCCAGGCUGGUGGAGGUCCGUGGGAACCUAAUAUACUUAUGUCAAUGCCAUUUUCUUUUGUUUCAUAGAAAAUAUAACCCUUCUGAUAUCUAACAUUUGCUUCCAGUUA